This 460-nucleotide ribosomal RNA is filed under the name uncultured bacterium. Its description in RNAcentral is "partial 16S ribosomal RNA". It matches the Rfam family "Bacterial small subunit ribosomal RNA", at positions 338 to 795 of the family's 1533-position model. The record is from RNAcentral.
CCUACGGGAGGCAGCAGUGAGGAAUAUUGGUCAAUGGCCGGAAGGCUGAACCAGCCAUGCCGCGUGAAGGUCAGUGCCCUAUGGGCGUUAAACUUCUUUUGUGCGGGAGCAAUAAUGGUCACGUGUGGCCAGACGAGAGUACCGUACGAAUAAGCAUCGGCUAACUCCGUGCAAGCAGCGGCGGUAAUACGGGGGAUGCAAGCGUUAUCCGGAUUUAUUGGGUUUAAAGGGUGCGUAGGCUGUGAGUUAAGUCAGCGGUGAAAUGCCCCCGCGCAACGGGGUGAAGUGCCAUUGAUACUGCCUUGCUGGAGUGCGAAUGCGGUAGGAGGAAUGUGUGGUGUAGCGGUGAAAUGCAUAGAUAUCACACAGAACACCGAUUGCGAAGGCAGCUCACGAAGCCGCGAUUGACGCUGAUGCACGAAAGCGUGGGUAUCAAACAGGAUUAGAUACCCUUGUAGUC